UUGAAAGGGAAACGAUUGAAGUCAGUCAUGCUCACGAGAAUCAACUUAGAGGAAACUCUGGGUGCACUUCUUCGUUUGGCAGGUUAGUGUCGAUUUUGGAUGUCAUAAAAUAAUUGGGGGAAGGUAGCUCUUUCGGGAGUGUUAUAGCCCUUGGUAGAUGUGAUGUCUGGGAUCGAGGAUUGCAACGGAUACCCUUCGGGGCUAACCGCCUGAUCUCUAAUCGGUGUUGGGUUACGGAUAGCAUGCUGACCGUGAUCUAAUUACUGGUUAAAAGGUUAGAGCGUGCAUAAAUUCGUUAAGGAUGUUGACGUA
RNAcentral lists this ribosomal RNA (312 nucleotides) under uncultured Glomeromycotina. RNAcentral's name for it is "LSU rRNA". The record is from RNAcentral. Lineage: Eukaryota; Fungi; Glomeromycota.